UUCGUUCACGACGUCGAUAUUCCCGGGAGAAGUUCCUUCUUCAAAGAGGAAGGGACACUUCAUUUCCUUCGGGGGGCACACGAAGGAAGACAUCGUCAAAAUAUUUUCCCCCAGAGUUGACACGGUAUACUCAAUGCCCCGCCGCCAAGAGCACUUCAACGUCACCUCCUCCAGCUCCAGCUCUCCCCGGCGGUCCGUGAACGCCCCCUGCCGACGUGCGCCCGACGACAAGCGCUGUGAUCGUCGCAGUGAUGUUAGCUAACUGCUGCUGUCACUAAAAGAUGUUCUCCCUCCGGGUUCUUCCUCCCUCUCGCUCUUUCCUCUAAGGCAAACGAUCCUAAUCUCGCGGAUGUUCACAUUCAGCUGCUGACCUCUGACCCCUCUUCAAAGUUUUCUGUCGCGAGGAUCCGGUCAACACGCAGAUGGGCUCAGAGGGCAGGGGCAGUGGAGGUCGUUAUCCCUGCAGGUCGCAGGUUUCUUGAUUUAUGCGAAAGCACUGGCCUACACUACACCUCGAGCCUGACUCCUGAUCUGAUUCCAGAGGAUGUCUGACCAUCACACCCAGCACGUGCCCCACUGACAUUGCCAAAUAUCACAAUGGCGGUCCACAUCAAGAUUCGUUCAUCGUUGUACACUGUGAAGUGAUCUGCACGUCCACACCUACACAGCAGCCGUCCUGCAGUUUCCUCCAGUGCUCCGCAGGUUGAGGUAGUAGGUUGUAUAGUUCAGAGUGACACCACAGGAGAUAACUGUACAGCCUCCUAGCUUUCCCUGAGGAGACACUGAUGCACCAAACACCAACUUUUGUACUUUAUUGGGAUUAGGUUAAUAAUUUAGUCGUAAUUACACUGUCUGUAUAUCAGGGGGGUUUGUAUAUGGCCUUUAAAUAUUGAUUUCUUUCUCUCUCUUUUUUCCAAGCAGUUUUUCCAUUUUUUUUUCAAGAGAGUGUCAUAAAAAAUGCACUGCACAAACUAGCAUGAACUUGGCAAACAAAAAAAAUGGCUUUCUG
RNAcentral lists this long non-coding RNA (1009 nucleotides) under Scophthalmus maximus (turbot). RNAcentral describes it as "lncRNA (ENSSMAG00000036289.1)". The stretch from base 699 to 775 matches the Rfam family "let-7 microRNA precursor family". Lineage: Eukaryota; Metazoa; Chordata; Actinopteri; Pleuronectiformes; Scophthalmidae. The record is from RNAcentral.